GACGAACGCUGGCGGCGUGCUUAACACAUGCAAGUCGAACGGUAAGGCCCUUCGGGGUACACGAGUGGCGAACGGGGGAGAAAGACGUGGGAAAUCUGCCCUGCCCUUCGGGAUAAGCCUGGGAAACUGGGGCUAAUACCGAAUAGGACCACAGAAUACAUGUACUGGGGUGGAAAGCGUUUAAGGGGUGGGUUGGGCCCUCGGCCUGUCGGCUUGUUGGUGGGGUGAUGGCGUACCGAGGCGACGACGGGUAGAAGGCCUGAGCGGGUAUCCGGCCACACUGGGACGGCGAUACGGCCCAGACGAGUACGGGGUGCAGCAGCGGGGACUAUUGCACAAUGGGUGAAAGCGUGAUGCAGCGUCGCCGCGUGAGGGUUGACGUCCUUCGAGUUGUGUACCUCUUGCACCAUCGUCGUAGAGCCGGGUUAUCUCGUAGUGACGGUAGGUAGAGAAGAAGCACCGGCCAACUACGUG
RNAcentral lists this ribosomal RNA (474 nucleotides) under uncultured bacterium. RNAcentral's name for it is "partial 16S ribosomal RNA". It matches the Rfam family "Bacterial small subunit ribosomal RNA", at positions 28 to 507 of the family's 1533-position model. The record is from RNAcentral.